This 213-nucleotide unclassified non-coding RNA is filed under the name uncultured bacterium. Its description in RNAcentral is "partial contains 16S ribosomal RNA, 16S-23S ribosomal RNA intergenic spacer, and 23S ribosomal RNA". It matches the Rfam family "Bacterial small subunit ribosomal RNA", at positions 1335 to 1533 of the family's 1533-position model. The record is from RNAcentral.
CUCUUAUUCCAGCAGCCGCGGUAAUACGUUCCCGGGCCUUGCUCCACACCGCCCGUCACACCAUGGAAGCCAGCUGUACCGGAAGUCGGUGCGCCAACCCCAAAAGGGAGGUAGCCGCCCAUGGUAUGACUGGUGACUGGGGUGAAGUCGUAACAAGGUAGCCGUAAGGGAACCUGCGGAUGGAUCACCUCCUUUCUAAGGAGCUGUGGCUUU